UUCACAUUAUCGAAAAGAAAUAAAGAGCCGAAUUUUGGCUGCAAUUGGAUAAAUUUUUUUUUUUCAUUAUACAUGAUUACACAAUGAUACAAUUCUUCUUCCCCCUUUCAAUUUAGGAUGGGAAAAUAAUCGGUGCAUAAACUUUCUCACUAUUUCCUCCAUUUGAACGAAGUAAAGAAUUAAUAAACAUAAAUCAAACAAUAUCAGAAUUUGAAGCAGCUAACUGGCAAACCUGUUUGAUGAUCAACAGUCACAAUCUCAGUCAUAUUAUCACAUCUCAGCACAUCUUGGCCUAAUUUAGCCCCAGCUGCUUUCAAUCCUCUCAGAGAAACCGGCUGAUUAAACAGAUUAAGCGAUGGCAAUUUUGAAGCUGAAGCAUUUUUCCAUUACGUAACAGUCUCUGAAGUCUUGUUUUAAUAAUGGAACCUCAAAAUCAGUCUUGUCAUGCCUCACACAUUGUCUUUAGCACUGAUAUGAN
RNAcentral lists this long non-coding RNA (478 nucleotides) under Carica papaya (papaya). RNAcentral's name for it is "long non-coding RNA (CPAP_LNC003817)". The record is from RNAcentral. Lineage: Eukaryota; Viridiplantae; Streptophyta; Magnoliopsida; Brassicales; Caricaceae.